This 198-nucleotide ribosomal RNA is filed under the name uncultured bacterium. RNAcentral's name for it is "partial 16S ribosomal RNA". It matches the Rfam family "Bacterial small subunit ribosomal RNA", at positions 328 to 539 of the family's 1533-position model. The record is from RNAcentral.
ACGCUCGACACCUACGGGAGGCAGCAGUGGGGAAUAUUGCACAAUGGGGGAAACCCUGAUGCAGCGACGCCGCGUGAAGGAAGAAGUAUCUCGGUAUGUAAACUUCUAUCAGCAGGGAAGAAAGUGACGGUACCUGACUAAGAAGCCCCGGCUAACUACGUGCCGGCAGUCGCGGUAAUCUGAGCGGGCUGGCAAGGC